CACGCCCUAAACGAUGCGAACUGGAUGUUGGGGACACUUAGGUCUUCAGUAUCGAAGCUAACGCGUUAAGUUCGCCGCCUGGGAAGUACGGUCGCAAGACUGAAACUCAAAGGAAUUGACGGGGGCCCGCACAAGCGGUGGAGUAUGUGGUUUAAUUCGAUGCAACGCGAAGAACCUUACCUGGCCUUGACAUGCACGGAACUUUCCAGAGAUGGAUUGGUGCCUUCGGGAACCGUGACACAGGUGC
RNAcentral lists this ribosomal RNA (247 nucleotides) under uncultured Lysobacter sp. RNAcentral describes it as "partial 16S ribosomal RNA". It matches the Rfam family "Bacterial small subunit ribosomal RNA", at positions 796 to 1041 of the family's 1533-position model. The record is from RNAcentral. Lineage: Bacteria; Pseudomonadati; Pseudomonadota; Gammaproteobacteria; Lysobacterales; Lysobacteraceae.